RNAcentral lists this non-coding RNA (303 nucleotides) under Vannella robusta. Lineage: Eukaryota; Discosea; Flabellinia; Vannellidae. The record is from RNAcentral.
UUAACUUAAACAAUACGGACUAUGUGAAUCUGUUUGUAGAAAAUAGCAGCGAAAUGGAUGUUUACUUGAACGAGUUGAACAUCUAUGCUAAUACAACUAAGAUUGUACCAAAGUACAAUGAUGAGGAGGAACCAGAGGAUGUGAAACCAUGGGGAAUGGCCAAUCAUUUCACUUUUUCACAUCAGCAUGGCCAGCUUCCUGUCACUCUGGCUCCUGGUGACCAAUAUGCAUUCGUUGUGAAAGCAAAGCCAAAUUUCAAAGAAAUCACGAGUGAUGGCUAUCGAAUCCCUCCAGCUUUGAUGG